UCGAACGAUGACCCGGUGCUUGCGCCGGUGAUUAGUGGCGAACGGGUGAGUAACACGUGAGUAACCUGCCCUUGACUCUGGGAUAAGCCUGGGAAACUGGGUCUAAUACCGGAUACGACCAUUCCGCGCAUGCGGUGGUGGUGGAAAGCUUUUGCGGUUUUGGAUGGACUCGCGGCCUAUCAGCUUGUUGGUGGGGUAAUGGCCUACCAAGGCGACGACGGGUAGCCGGCCUGAGAGGGUGACCGGCCACACUGGGACUGAGACACGGCCCAGACUCCUACGGGAGGCAGCAGUGGGGAAUAUUGCACAAUGGGCGGAAGCCUGAUGCAGCGACGCCGCGUGAGGGAUGACGGCCUUCGGGUUGUAAACCUCUUUCAGUAGGGAAGAAGCGCAAGUGACGGUACCUGCAGAAGAAGCGCCGGCUAACUACGUGCCAGCAGCCGCGGUAAUACGUAGGGCGCAAGCGUUAUCCGGAAUUAUUGGGCGUAAAGAGCUCGUAGGCGGUUUGUCGCGUCUGCUGUGAAAGACCGGGGCUCAACCCCGGUUCUGCAGUGGGUACGGGCAGACUAGAGUGAUGUAGGGGAGACUGGAAUUCCUGGUGUAGCGGUGAAAUGCGCAGAUAUCAGGAGGAACACCGAUGGCGAAGGCAGGUCUCUGGGCAUUAACUGACGCUGAGGAGCGAAAGCAUGGGGAGCGAACAGGAUUAGAUACCCUGGUAGUCCAUGCCGUAAACGUUGGGCACUAGGUGUGGGGGACAUUCCACGUUUUCCGCGCCGUAGCUAACGCAUUAAGUGCCCCGCCUGGGGAGUACGGCCGCAAGGCUAAAACUCAAAUGAAUUUGACGGGGA
This 848-nucleotide ribosomal RNA is filed under the name Arthrobacter ramosus. RNAcentral describes it as "bacterial SSU rRNA". It matches the Rfam family "Bacterial small subunit ribosomal RNA", at positions 62 to 919 of the family's 1533-position model. Lineage: Bacteria; Bacillati; Actinomycetota; Actinomycetes; Micrococcales; Micrococcaceae. The record is from RNAcentral.